RNAcentral lists this ribosomal RNA (253 nucleotides) under uncultured bacterium. RNAcentral's name for it is "partial 16S ribosomal RNA". It matches the Rfam family "Bacterial small subunit ribosomal RNA", at positions 524 to 776 of the family's 1533-position model. The record is from RNAcentral.
UACAGAGGAGCCAAGCGUUGUCCGGAUUGACUGGGCGUAAAGCGCACGCAGGCGGUUGCGCGCGUGGGGUGUGAAAUCUGGCCGCUUAACGGCCAGGCGCCAUCCCAUACGGCGCGACUGGAGCGAUGCAGAGGUCGGUGGAAUUGCCGGUGUAGUGGUGAAAUGCGUAGAUAUCGAGAGGAACACCUGCGGCGAAGGCGGGUUGCUGGGCUGACACUGACGCUGAGGCGCGAAAGCCAGGGGAGCGAACGGG